This is a small nucleolar RNA of Nannospalax galili (Upper Galilee mountains blind mole rat), 68 nucleotides long. The record is from Ensembl. Lineage: Eukaryota; Metazoa; Chordata; Mammalia; Rodentia; Spalacidae.
GAGCAAUGAUGAAAAGACUAUUACUGAACUUUGUCUCUAUGAAGGCUUCUACACUUGACCUGAGCUCA